CUACCUGGAGACCAUAUAUUAAAUAGAUUUUUGGAACAGGGAGAUGGAAUAGGGGCUUGUUCCAUCCACUCCACACACAGACCCAGUAUCGCAGCACCUCUGUGAACAGUGUACCUCCC
Molecule: small nuclear RNA, 119 nt
Organism: Electrophorus electricus (electric eel)
Lineage: Eukaryota; Metazoa; Chordata; Actinopteri; Gymnotiformes; Gymnotidae
Gene: U2
Rfam family: U2 spliceosomal RNA
About the family: U2 is a small nuclear RNA (snRNA) component of the spliceosome (involved in pre-mRNA splicing).
Source: Ensembl